Molecule: ribosomal RNA, 467 nt
Filed under: uncultured bacterium
Lineage: Bacteria
Description: partial 16S ribosomal RNA
Rfam family: Bacterial small subunit ribosomal RNA
Source: RNAcentral
GACGAACGCUGGCGGCGUGCUUAACACAUGCAAGUCGAACGGAAAGGCCCUGCUUUUGUGGGGUGCUCGAGUGGCGAACGGGUGAGUAACACGUGAGUAACCUGCCCUUGACUUUGGGAUAACUUCAGGAAACUGGGGCUAAUACCGGAUAGGAGCUCCUGCUGCAUGGUGGGGGUUGGAAAGUUUCGGCGGUUGGGGAUGGACUCGCGGCUUAUCAGCUUGUUGGUGGGGUAGUGGCUUACCAAGGCUUUGACGGGUAGCCGGCCUGAGAGGGUGACCGGCCACAUGGGGACUGGGAUCCGGCCCAGACUCCUCCGGGAGGCAGCAGUGGGGAAUAUUGCACAAGGGGCGGAAGCCUGAUGCAGCAACGCCGCGUGCGGGAUGACGGCCUUCGGGUUGUAAACCGCUUUCGCCUGUGACGAAGCGUGAGUGACGGUAAUGGGUAAAGAAGCACCGGCUACCUACGU